This 73-nucleotide transfer RNA is filed under the name Candidatus Omnitrophota bacterium. RNAcentral's name for it is "tRNA-Arg". It matches the Rfam family "tRNA". Rfam says of the family: Transfer RNA (tRNA) molecules are approximately 80 nucleotides in length. Their secondary structure includes four short double-helical elements and three loops (D, anti-codon, and T loops). The record is from RNAcentral. Lineage: Bacteria; Pseudomonadati; Candidatus Omnitrophota.
GCGCCUGUAGCUCAAUGGAUAGAGCACGUGGCUUCGGACCAUGUGGUUGCGGGUUCAACUCCUGCCAGGCGCG